GUGGGGAAUAUUGGACAAUGGGCGAAAGCCUGAUCCAGCCAUGCCGCGUGUGUGAAGAAGGUCUUCGGAUUGUAAAGCACUUUAAGUUGGGAGGAAGGGCAGUAAGUUAAUACCUUGCUGUUUUGACGUUACCAACAGAAUAAGCACCGGCUAACUUCGUGCAAGCAGCCGCGGUAAUACGAAGGGUGCAAGCGUUAAUCGGAAUUACUGGGCGUAAAGCGCGCGUAGGUGGUUCAGCAAGUUGAAGGUGAAAUCCCCGGGCUCAACCUGGGAACUGCCUCCAAAACUACUGAGCUAGAGUACGGUAGAGGGUAGUGGAAUUUCCUGUGUAGCGGUGAAAUGCAUAGAUAUAGGAAGGAACACCAGUUGCGAAGGCGACUACCUGGACUGAUACUGACACUGAGGUGCGAAAGCGUGGAGAGCAAACAGGAUUAGAAACCCUAGUAGUCC
RNAcentral lists this ribosomal RNA (450 nucleotides) under uncultured bacterium. Its description in RNAcentral is "partial 16S ribosomal RNA". It matches the Rfam family "Bacterial small subunit ribosomal RNA", at positions 354 to 796 of the family's 1533-position model. The record is from RNAcentral.